RNAcentral lists this ribosomal RNA (253 nucleotides) under uncultured bacterium. Its description in RNAcentral is "partial 16S ribosomal RNA". It matches the Rfam family "Bacterial small subunit ribosomal RNA", at positions 524 to 776 of the family's 1533-position model. The record is from RNAcentral.
UACGAAGGGUGCAAGCGUUACUCGGAAUUACUGGGCGUAAAGCGUGCGUAGGUGGUGGUUUAAGUCUGUUGUGAAAGCCCUGGGCUCAACCUGGGAAUUGCAGUGGAUACUGGAUCACUAGAGUGUGGUAGAGGGUGGCGGAAUUCCCGGUGUAGCAGUGAAAUGCGUAGAGAUCGGGAGGAACACCCGUGGCGAAGGCGGCCACCUGGGCCAACACUGACACUGAGGCACGAAAGCGUGGGGAGCAAACAGG